Molecule: ribosomal RNA, 176 nt
Filed under: Gemmatimonadota bacterium
Lineage: Bacteria; Pseudomonadati; Gemmatimonadota
Description: Gemmatimonadetes bacterium (bioreactor metagenome) partial 16S ribosomal RNA
Rfam family: Bacterial small subunit ribosomal RNA
Source: RNAcentral
CCAACGGAGAGUUUGAUCCUGGCUCAGGACGAACGCUGGCGGCGUGCUUAAUACAUGCAAGUCAUAGGGGCUAAUUUCCUUCGGGAGAUUGGUCACUGGCGCACGGGUGCGUAACGCGUAAGUUAUCUGCCCUUGGGUCUGGCAUAACGUCGGGAAACCGGCGCUAAUUCCAGAUG